AGCAUUUAGAGCAAAUCUGACAUGGGGUUAAAUUGUUUAUCAGGUCAAGAUCUAUCUGCCCUGAAAUUUUUAGAUGAUUCAGACAACCCAUUGUUGGGUUGCUGCCCCUAAAUUGGUAAUUUUAAGGAAAUUUUACUGUUUUUGGUUAUUAUCUUGAAUAUUAUUAUAGAUGGAGAUAAACUGUAAACAGCAAUAAUGUACAGCAAUUUAAGACUCAAAAAUAAGUCUAAAUGACCAAAAUGGUCAAUUGACCCCCUAAGAAGUUAUUGUCCUAUAUAAUCAAUUUUUAACAAUUUUCAUAAAAUUUGUAAAUUUUUACUAACAUUUUCCACUGAAACUACACGGACAAGUUCAUUAUAGAUAGAGAUAAUUGUAAGCAGCAAGAAUGUUCAGUAAAGUAAGAUGUACAAACACAUCACAAUCACCUAAACACAAUUUUGUCAUGAACUGUCUGCUUCCUUUGUUUAAUUCACAUAUACCAAGGUGAGCGACACAGCCUCUUUAGAGCCUCUAGUUUUUUUUAAUU
This 526-nucleotide long non-coding RNA is filed under the name Mytilus galloprovincialis (Mediterranean mussel). The record is from RNAcentral. Lineage: Eukaryota; Metazoa; Mollusca; Bivalvia; Mytilida; Mytilidae.